GACGAACGCUGGCGGCGUGCCUAAUACAUGCAAGUAGAACGCUGAAGAGAGGAGCUUGCUCUUCUUGGAUGAGUUGCGAACGGGUGAGUAACGCGUAGGUAACCUGCCUUGUAGCGGGGGAUAACUAUUGGAAACGAUAGCUAAUACCGCAUAACAAUGGAUGACACAUGUCAUUUAUUUGAAAGGGGCAAUUGCUCCACUACAAGAUGGACCUGCGUUGUAUUAGCUAGUAGGCGAGGUAACGGCUCACCUAGGCGACGAUACAUAGCCGACCUGAGAGGGUGAUCGGCCACACUGGGACUGAGACACGGCCCAGACUCCUACGGGAGGCAGCAGUAGGGAAUCUUCGGCAAUGGGGGCAACCCUGACCGAGCAACGCCGCGUGAGUGAAGAAGGUUUUCGGAUCGUAAAGCUCUGUUGUAAGUCAAGAACGAGUGUGAGAGUGGAAAGUUCACACUGUGACGGUAGCUUACCAGAAAGGGACGGCUAACUACGUGCCAGCAGCCGCGGUAAUACGUAGGUCCCGAGCGUUGUCCGGAUUUAUUGGGCGUAAAGCGAGCGCAGGCGGUUUGAUAAGUCUGAAGUUAAAGGCUGUGGCUCAACCAUAGUUCGCUUUGGAAACUGUCAAACUUGAGUGCAGAAGGGGAGAGUGGAAUUCCAUGUGUAGCGGUGAAAUGCGUAGAUAUAUGGAGGAACACCGGUGGCGAAAGCGGCUCUCUGGUCUGUAACUGACGCUGAGGCUCGAAAGCGUGGGGAGCGAACAGGAUUAGAUACCCUGGUAGUCCACGCCGUAAACGAUGAGUGCUAGGUGUUGGAUCCUUUCCGGGAUUCAGUGCCGCAGCUAACGCAUUAAGCACUCCGCCUGGGGAGUACGACCGCAAGGUUGAAACUCAAAGGAAUUGACGGGGGCCCGCACAAGCGGUGGAGCAUGUGGUUUAAUUCGAAGCAACGCGAAGAACCUUACCAGGUCUUGACAUCCCGAUGCUAUUUCUAGAGAUAGAAAGUUACUUCGGUACAUCGGUGACAGGUGGUGCAUGGUUGUCGUCAGCUCGUGUCGUGAGAUGUUGGGUUAAGUCCCGCAACGAGCGCAACCCCUAUUGUUAGUUGCCAUCAUUCAGUUGGGCACUCUAGCGAGACUGCCGGUAAUAAACCGGAGGAAGGUGGGGAUGACGUCAAAUCAUCAUGCCCCUUAUGACCUGGGCUACACACGUGCUACAAUGGUUGGUACGACGAGUUGCGAGUCGGUGACGGCAAGCUAAUCUCUUAAAGCCAAUCUCAGUUCGGAUUGUAGGCUGCAACUCGCCUACAUGAAGUCGGAAUCGCUAGUAAUCGCGGAUCAGCACGCCGCGGUGAAUACGUUCCCGGGCCU
RNAcentral lists this ribosomal RNA (1369 nucleotides) under uncultured bacterium. RNAcentral describes it as "bacterial SSU rRNA". It matches the Rfam family "Bacterial small subunit ribosomal RNA", at positions 28 to 1381 of the family's 1533-position model. The record is from RNAcentral.